GGCCUAGAGAGAGUUGGUGAAUGGAGCUACAUCCAGCUGGUCACUGGUUACCACUGGUCAGUGGUGUUCCUCAGGGCUCAAUGUUGGGGUCAGGCACGUUUAAUACCUUUAUUUAUGAUCUGAUUGAGGGGACCAAGAACACCCUCAGUCUGCUUACUUGGAUUGAGCAUAAGUGUUGGUCUACUGGAAAGUUGGAAGGCUCUGCAGAGGGGUCUGGCCAUGGAUCUGCAGAGGGAUCUGACCUCACCAUGGAGUGAGGCUAGUGGUAAAAGGUUCAAGAAGGCCAAAUGCUGGACCCUGCACUUGGGUCACAACAACUCCUGCAGUGCUACAGGCUGGGGGGGAGUGUCUGGAAAACUCCCUGGUGGAAAAGGACCUGGGAGUAUUGGUGGACAGCAGCUGAACAUGAGCCAGUGAGUGCCCAGAUGGGCAUCAGUCCCUUCUGGCCCCAUCAGGGGAGGGUUAGAUUGGAUAUUGGUAAGAAUUUCUUCUCCAGAAGGGUUAUUAAACACUGGAACAGGCUGCCAGGGGCAGUGAUGGAGUCACCAUCCCUGGAGGUAUUUAAAAGAUGUUUAAAAAGGUGUUUAAAAGACAUUGGGCUUAGGAACAUGAUAUAGUGGUGGACUUCAUAGUGCUGUGUUAACAGUUGGACUAGAUGAUCUUAAAGUCUUUUCCAAUCUAAAUUGUUCUAUAAUUCUAUGGUUCUCUGAAAGGAAAAAUGAAGGUGUGACAGAAAUAGGAUAAUACCGAAUUUAAGAGAAGGCUGAAAGGAGAAGCUAUUUGUGCAGGAGAGAGGUGGGAAUGCAUAGAAGAAAGAAGGGGGAUUCAUAAUGUGUAGGUAUGAAAAAAGAACCAACAUUUAGAAUUAAAAAAAAACAACCUCUUUUCUUGACCUCCUUCUAACCAUCUCUUCUACCAUGGAGAUGUUACUUGUGGGGAAGAAAAGGACUUCUGUCUGCACCACUUCGAAGUUUAUUGGACAUGGAGGCUACAUCCUUUUCCAGUCUCAUCCUGUGAUGCAGGACUGUCUCCAUCUUCACGAGCUCCUCUUGCAUGUGUUCUGCCAAGACACCCCUAUCUCCCAAGAGCCUGCACUCAGCACAACUUUCUACCAUAGCCCUUUGCUGGAAGAAGGGGUGACAGGGAUCCCUUAGCCACAGCUGGAAUAAAGAAUCCGUGGAAAAGCAUUGACACAGCUUCUGGGAAGUGGGAGUAAAGUAAAGAAGGAAGUGGUGUUAAGCUAAGAAAUUAAUUCUGAUGGUUUUUGCAAUCAUGUAUUUAGCAUCACGAUGCUGUCGUGGUAAGUCCAAAAGCACCAAAAGUGGAAAAAUAAAUCAGUGUGGGGAAGAUAGAAGGAAUUUGGAAAGUCCUCCAAAUAUUCACAUUUCUUUCCAUGUACCUAAGGCUGAAAUUUGAACUGUAUAGGUAUAAGCAGUAUGCUAACAAUUAGAAAUAUAUUUAAAAUGUUUGUGCAGUUUUCUGAAAACCCAUUUCUGCAGCUUGCUGCAAAGUGAGAGCUGAGGAAGCAGAUAUCCUGAGUACCUGACACUUUUUUCUAGUGUAGCCAAACAAUAAAAAGAAGUUAAAAAAUUAGGCUCUUUUUGAACUCAGAUUUCCUGAAAUUAAAUGUGAAUUAGAAUUAGUGAUUCUGAACAUAAGCACAGUUUUGUGAAUACAGUAACUGCAUCUUGGCAAAUGAAAUUUAUGGUGAUAAAACAGGUGGACUGGCUCAAAGUAAUUUCAGAACAUUUAUGGUAUGAUACUUUCCUUCAAUCAUGUGUUCCACUUGGAAGUUCUGUAUCUGUAUCUGAAAUAACUGUUCUGGUGCUUCAGAAUACUUCCUUUAAAAGUCAUUGGCAAUUUCAACAGGAACUGAAGUUUAAAAAUAAACAUACUUAUUCUUCACCUUUAUGUACCACUAAAGCUGAAGUGGUUUGCAGUUACAGAGCUUAUCAAAUACAGUGAAUUUGAAGGUGAGUCUUCCAAAUGGUGUUAAAUAAUUAUAUUUCCUUUCGGAUUUAUACAAGUCCUAACUGUUACUUAGGCAAAGUAUUACUAUAUGCAUUGUAUGUACUGCCUUUCUGAACCACAGAUGUGGCAUAAUGAGCAUACUAUGGUUCUUGAUAUGUUCCGUGCCACUUGGAGCAACACAAAAUAUACUUUCCAAUAUGCACAUAUUGUGUUUGUGCCUUUCCCAACUAUUAGUUUCAUUUAAAAAUAAAAUUAAAUGCUACAGUAGAUUUAUCUGUUGCUGGUGAAAAAGAAGAGAGAUAUGAUGACAAUAUAAGCUUAAUGUAUAGACUAUUUUUACUAUUCACAGAAAAUAUCAAUAAUUUCUAUCAGAGAGUGUAUUAAUUUUCCUCAAGCCUUACUUCAUGAUAUACUGUAGAAACUUAGUAGCAGUGAUAAUUAAUGUCAAUCUGGAAUAUCAAGUUUUAAAACAAUACUGGGAAGAUAAUUCAUUGUGACUAGUUGAAGAAAAUAUUUUUGGUGAUGUGGUAUCUCAACAUCUGAGCUUAUAAUCAGUAGUACUGUUUCCUGAAUAUUUUUCAGAAAAGUGUGUCAGUGAUCUCAAUUUUAUUUUACAGGCCUUUGGGAAGGAGUUUUUCUUAGAAGUGCAGUAAUAGAAUGAGUUCCUGCUUAGAACUGAAACCUACAGUGGACAAAGAGCUACUGUUUUAAAGAUUACACUGGUAUUGAUUUAGAAGAGUGGGAGUGUAUUAUCAGAUAGAAUAAACUGAAGAGUAUACCUACAUGAUUAAGAAUUUCAUGAUGUAUAGUAUUAAUGUGCACUACUUAGAAUUCAGAGUAAUAAAAAAUACAAAGUUGCAAUGCUCAUAUUAAUUUUUUUUGUAUUUAGCAAUGUGUCAUAUUUUCAGAAUUAAAUCAAUAGAGGUGUUUGCACAGCAGUGCUUUUGCCAUGUAUCAGUGCAAGUGGAAAUGCCAAAACAUGGUCAUAAAGAAAGGAACCACUGUGUUCUGUGAUACUGUGAACUGGAGCCUUUUUGGAGACAGUAGCAGCAACAAACAACUGUAAUACUUCCCACCCUCCCAUAAUCUGUGAAGUUUCAGAACAUUGCUCAUUACCUUACUGUUCUCUCUUGCACUUCAGUCUGCAUGGAGGAAUUUUACAUCACCAGUAAAGAAAAUCCUCCCACAUGCAGUAAGGUAUUACUGCAUAGUACAAGUUUGCUUUAGACCAAAAAGAAUCAUUUAGGUUGAUGUUGGUUUCGGUAGUUAAGUUUGUAAUACUUCAGAACACUGUUUUUUAAAGAUUAUGAAGGUACUUAAAUCCACUGCACUGGUGCACAGACUCAAAUAAGUUGGGAAACUUGGACAAUAUCAAACACAA
This is a non-coding RNA of Taeniopygia guttata (zebra finch), 3352 nucleotides long. NCBI's taxonomy places the organism in Eukaryota, Metazoa, Chordata, Aves, Passeriformes, Estrildidae. The record is from RefSeq and is a predicted model, not a curated record.